This 253-nucleotide ribosomal RNA is filed under the name uncultured bacterium. RNAcentral's name for it is "partial 16S ribosomal RNA". It matches the Rfam family "Bacterial small subunit ribosomal RNA", at positions 524 to 776 of the family's 1533-position model. The record is from RNAcentral.
UACAGAGGGUGCGAGCGUUAAUCGGAAUUAUUGGGCGUAAAGCGCAUGUAGGUGGUUUUUUAAGUCUGAUGUGAAAGCCCUGGGCUCAACCUGGGAAUUGCGUUGGAAACUGAAAAGCUAGAGUCGGACAGAGGGCCGUGGAAUUUCCGGUGUAGCAGUGAAAUGCGUAGAGAUCGGAAAGAACACCAGUGGCGAAGGCGGCGGCCUGGGUCCAGACUGACACUGAGGUGCGAAAGCAUGGGGAGCAAACAGG